UACGUAGGGGGCGAGCGUUGUCCGGAAUUAUUGGGCGUAAAGAGCUUGUAGGCGGUUUGUCGCGUCUGCUGUGAAAAUCCGGGGCUCAACCCCGGACUUGCAGUGGGUACGGGCAGACUGGAGUGUGGUAGGGGAGAUUGGAAUUCCUGGUGUAGCGGUGGAAUGCGCAGAUAUCAGGAGGAACACCAAUGGCGAAGGCAGCUCGCUGGGACGGUACUGACGCUGAGACGCGAAAGCGUGGGGAGCAAACAGG
RNAcentral lists this ribosomal RNA (253 nucleotides) under uncultured bacterium. Its description in RNAcentral is "partial 16S ribosomal RNA". It matches the Rfam family "Bacterial small subunit ribosomal RNA", at positions 524 to 776 of the family's 1533-position model. The record is from RNAcentral.